Molecule: ribosomal RNA, 464 nt
Filed under: Streptococcus mutans
Lineage: Bacteria; Bacillati; Bacillota; Bacilli; Lactobacillales; Streptococcaceae
Description: bacterial SSU rRNA
Rfam family: Bacterial small subunit ribosomal RNA
Source: RNAcentral
GACGAACGCUGGCGGCGUGCCUAAUACAUGCAAGUGGGACGCAAGGGAACACACUGUGCUUGCACACCGUGUUUUCUUGAGUCGCGAACGGGUGAGUAACGCGUAGGUAACCUGCCUAUUAGCGGGGGAUAACUAUUGGAAACGAUAGCUAAUACCGCAUAAUAUUAAUUAUUGCAUGAUAAUUGAUUGAAAGAUGCAAGCGCAUCACUAGUAGAUGGACCUGCGUUGUAUUAGCUAGUUGGUAAGGUAAGAGCUUACCAAGGCGACGAUACAUAGCCGACCUGAGAGGGUGAUCGGCCACACUGGGACUGAGACACGGCCCAGACUCCUACGGGAGGCAGCAGUAGGGAAUCUUCGGCAAUGGACGAAAGUCUGACCGAGCAACGCCGCGUGAGCGAAGAAGGUUUUCGGAUCGUAAAGCUCUGUUGUAAGUCAAGAACGUGUGUGAGAGGGAAAGUUCACAC